Molecule: ribosomal RNA, 3591 nt
Filed under: Triticum aestivum (bread wheat)
Lineage: Eukaryota; Viridiplantae; Streptophyta; Magnoliopsida; Poales; Poaceae
Description: partial small subunit ribosomal RNA
Source: RNAcentral
AUGGAGGCCACGGCUCUGAGCAUUGGAAAGUCCGUGCUGGAUGGAGCGCUUGGCUACGCCAAAUCCGCUCUGGCGGAGGAGGUUGCUCUGCAACUUGGAGUCCGGCGUGACCAGGUCUUCAUCACCAAUGAGCUCGAGAUGAUGCAUGCUUUCCUCAUGACUGCCCAUGACGAGAGAUAUGAUGACGACAGGGUUGUCAAGGUGUGGGUGAAACAAGUCCGCGAUGUGGCCUAUGAUGUCGAGGACACCCUUCAAGAAUUUGCUGUUCGCCUUGAGAAGCAGUCCUGGUGGCGUAUCCGUCGCACACUGCUGGAUCGGCGCCGCGUGGCCAAGCAGAUGAAGGAGCUCAGAGCCAAUGUCGAGGAUGUUAGCCAGAGGAACAUGCGCUACCACCUCAUCAAGGGCUCUAGUUCUAAGACUGCAACCACCGAUGGAAAACCUGCAGUGGCUGGUACAACUUUGUCCGGAACCGAUGAAGCAAGGUGGCAGCGGGAUAGAGCAAAAUUUGAUCUCAUUCGAAUGAUCAACAAGACCGACAUUGACCUUAGAGUGAUCUCUGUGUGGGGGAAAGGUAUUGGUGAUCUUGGAGAGACGUCAAUCAUCAAAAGGGUCUAUGAAGAUCCACAGAUACACAAGAAGUUCGAGUGCCGAGCCUGGGUCACUGGGUUGAGGCGACCUUUCAAUUCAACCGAAUUCUUGAAAAGUGUAGUUGAGCAGUUCUACAUUAAUUUUCUUCAAGAGGAGGGUAAAGAGGAAAAAGCAGCUCUUGGGACCCAAGUCCUGAAGAUGAUGGGAAUGAUGAAGAAAAUUUACUUUGCUCAUGAGUUCAAGAAAUUUCUAAAAGAAAGGAGUUACUUCAUUGUGCUAAAUGACAUUCUCACCAUUGAAGAGUGGGAUCGGAUUAAAGCAUGCUUCCCAGACAAUAAGAAAGGAAGUCUGAUCUUAGUUUCCACAGAGCAAAUUGGAGUUGCAAGCUUAUGCGUAGGGGCAGAGAAUGGAGCACCAGAGCAUAAACAAUUGUUUGCUGACCAGACUCUUCAUGUUUUCUACAAGAAGGGUUCGCAAGAUGGAAAGGAUUUGACGGAGGCAGGGUGUAGCUCACAAGUGAACACUGCCAGUAGUGACAGCUCUGCCGGUAGGAAGAUGUUCAAUCGCACAGAGACAAUGCUCGCAGCUUUUAAGGAAUCUCGGCUCAUCGGGCGAGAGAAUGAAAAAUCAGAUAUUCUCAAGCUAAUUGCAAACGAUAAUAGCCGGCAACGUGAGGUGAUCUGCCUAUGGGGAAUGGGUGGUAUUGGAAAAACCACAAUAAUCAGAGAUAUCUACCAAAGCGAGGAACUCGCUGGCAAUUUUGAUAAGCGUGCUUGCAUCACAAUUAUGCGCCCUUUCAAUCCUCAAGAGCUCCUCAAAAACUUAGCUAUGCAGAUGGAAUGCAAGGAUGUGGAAGAUUUGGUCAAAAAAUUAGAAGUGAAGAAAUACUUGAUUGUUCUUGAUGAUCUAUUAUCCACCACAGAAUGGGACGCAUUAAUACCAUCUUUUCCUGCAACUGAAACAUCCAGCCGAAUCAUAGUAACCACAAGGAUAAAGGAUAUUGCUAAGCAUUGUUCCAAGAAUUCUGAACAUGAGAAAAUAUACGAGCUCAAAAGUCUUGGACAGAAUGAUGCACGUGACCUCUUCAUUGAAAAGGUAUUUGACAGGACUACAAAUUUUUAUGAGCAGUAUCCCGAGUUGGUUGAACUGGCAAACUUGAUCCUAAAAAAAUGCAAGGGACUUCCGCUUGCAAUAGUCACCAUUGGGGGCUUUUUGGCAAACCAACCAAAAACUGCGGUAGAAUGGAGGAAAUUGAAUGAACAUAUUAGUGCCGAGUUGGAGAUGAAUCCGGAACUUGGGACCAUAAGAACUAUCCUUAUGAGAAGCUAUGAUGGCUUACCUUAUCAUCUCAAGUCUUGUUUCCUGUAUCUGCCCAUAUUCCCUGAAGACUACAGGAUUGGACGGGGACGGUUGGCACGUCGGUGGAGUGCAGAGGGAUACUCAAGGGAGGUGCACGGCAGGUCUGCGGAGGAAAUAGCGGGUAGCUACUUCAUGGAGCUUAUAAGCAGGAGUAUGAUCUUGCCAUCUCAACAAUCAAUUCGCAGUACAAAAGGAAUUGAUGCCUGCCAAGUCCACGACCUCAUGCGUGAAAUCAGCAUGUCGAAGUCGCUGGAAGAAAAUCUUGUUUUUACACUAGAGCAAGGCUGCAGUGUAAACACCCAGGGCAUAGCACGGCACCUUGCUAUAAAUGGCAAUUGGGAAGGAGACAAGACUGAGUUUGAGAGCACAGUGGACAUGUCCCGUGUACGAUCAGUAACAGUUUUUGGCAAGUGGAAGUCAUUUUUCAUUUCUGAUAAGAUGAGUCUUCUGCGAGUGUUGGACCUCGAAGACACCACAGGUCUUUAUGAUCAUCACAUUAAGCAUAUUGGGAAUCUUCUUCACCUAAGCUACCUUUCUCUAAGAGGAUGUGAUGAUAUUCUUCACCUCCCAGAUUCAUUGGGUGACCUAAGACAACUUGAGACACUAGAUAUCAGAGAUACCCAGGUGAUGAUGCUGCCAAACACCAUUAUCAAGCUUCGGAAGCUACAAUAUCUUCGUGCCGGUGGAAACUCAACAAAUGAAAAUGUCUCAUAUGAGGAAGGAGUGUUAGAAGAAAUUCCACACAUAAUGAGGAACAGGCUAUGCCUCUUGCCUCAGUGCUUGCUGUUUUCUUAUUUAUUAUCUAAAGAUCGUGAUGACUUGAAAAUCCAUGAUAGAUGCACUAUGAUAUGCUGUGCUAUACUCCCUGCUUUUGCGAUGUGCCUGGAUUUGUAUGGUGUUCUAGUGCCUAGAAGGAUGAGGAAGCUUAAAGCCCUGCGCACACUGGGUGUUGUGAAUAUCGGGCGACGAGGAAAGGAUGUUGUACAAGACAUAGAAGGACUCACCCAGUUGUGCAAGUUAGGAGUCACUGGCGUCAAUAAGGAAAGCGGACAAGAGCUGUGUUCUGCAGUCGUUGGUCUGAGGCGCCUGGAGUCAUUGUCAAUCCGGUCAGAGGGAAAGCCAGGUUUAUGUGACUGCUUGGAGGGAAAGUUCUCGUUUUCGGAGACACUUCAGAGCCUCAAGUUGUACGGCAACCUGGUCAAACUGCCGGAAUGGAUCCAGGGGCUUAAGAAUCUGGUGAAGCUGAAGCUGCGGAGUUCCAGGAUAACAGAGCACGAUGCUGCCAUACAAGUCCUUGGGAAUCUACCCAAUCUGGCGUUCCUGCAUCUGUUGGAGAAGUCACUCGAGGGUGAAGAGGUCCGUCUCAAUUUCCAGCAGGGGACGUUUCUGAGCCUGGUAGUGCUGGAGCUGAGCAUGGGACUCGAAGAAAGGCUCAAGUCCGUCAAGUUUGAACACGGAGCAGCCCGGAAGCUUGAGGUGCUCAAGUUUGGUACGCCUAUAUACAGUGGUGUCCUUUCAGGCCUACGAUAUCUCGCGAGCCUCAAGGAAGUUCUGCUCAAAGAUUACUACACUGAUUAUGAACUGGCAUGCCUGAGGGCCGAGCUCACUGAGGAUCCACGUCGACCCAUUGUGAAGCGGGUCUGA